GGUCGAUUAACUCAGUUGGUUAGAGUGUCGUACUAAUAAUGCGAAAGUCAUGAGUUCGAACCUCAUAUUGACCA
RNAcentral lists this transfer RNA (74 nucleotides) under Camillea tinctor. Its description in RNAcentral is "tRNA-Ile". It matches the Rfam family "tRNA". From Rfam's summary of the family: Transfer RNA (tRNA) molecules are approximately 80 nucleotides in length. Their secondary structure includes four short double-helical elements and three loops (D, anti-codon, and T loops). Further hydrogen bonds mediate the characteristic L-shaped molecular structure. tRNAs have two regions of fundamental functional importance: the anti-codon, which is responsible for specific mRNA codon recognition, and the 3' end, to which the tRNAs corresponding amino acid is attached (by aminoacyl-tRNA synthetases). tRNAs cope with the degeneracy of the genetic code in two manners: having more than one tRNA (with a specific anti-codon) for a particular amino acid; and 'wobble' base-pairing, i.e. permitting non-standard base-pairing at the 3rd anti-codon position. The record is from RNAcentral. Lineage: Eukaryota; Fungi; Ascomycota; Sordariomycetes; Xylariales; Graphostromataceae.